This 74-nucleotide transfer RNA is filed under the name Spirochaetae bacterium HGW-Spirochaetae-5. RNAcentral's name for it is "tRNA-Arg". It matches the Rfam family "tRNA". Rfam says of the family: Transfer RNA (tRNA) molecules are approximately 80 nucleotides in length. Lineage: Bacteria; Pseudomonadati; Spirochaetota. The record is from RNAcentral.
GCGCCCGUAGCUCAGCUGGAUAGAGCAACGCCCUUCUAAGGCGUGGGUCAUAAGUUCGAAUCUUAUCGGGCGUA